CAGCAGCCACGGUAAUACGAGGGGGGCAAGCGUUGUUCGGAAUUAUUGGGCGUAAAGGGUGCGUAGGCGGUUUGGCAAGUUUGGUGUGAAAUCUUCGGGCUCAACUCGAAGUCUGCAUCGAAAACUGCCGGGCUUGAGUAUGGGAGAGGUGAGUGGAAUUUCCGGUGUAGCGGUGAAAUGCGUAGAUAUCGGAAGGAACACCUGUGGCGAAAGCGGCUCACUGGACCAUAACUGACGCUGAUGCACGAAAGCUAGGGGAGCAAACAGGAUUAGAUACCCGGGUAGUCCCUGUCUCUUAUAC
RNAcentral lists this ribosomal RNA (301 nucleotides) under uncultured bacterium. Its description in RNAcentral is "partial 16S ribosomal RNA". It matches the Rfam family "Bacterial small subunit ribosomal RNA", at positions 509 to 807 of the family's 1533-position model. The record is from RNAcentral.